RNAcentral lists this ribosomal RNA (253 nucleotides) under uncultured bacterium. Its description in RNAcentral is "partial 16S ribosomal RNA". It matches the Rfam family "Bacterial small subunit ribosomal RNA", at positions 524 to 776 of the family's 1533-position model. The record is from RNAcentral.
UACGGAGGGUGCAAGCGUUAUCCGGAUUCACUGGGUUUAAAGGGAGCGCAGGCGGAUUGGUAAGUCAGUGGUGAAAGGCUUAAGCUUAACUUGGGAACUGCCAUUGAUACUAUCAGUCUUGAAUGUUGUUGAGGUUUGCGGAAUGGGUCAUGUAGCGGUGAAAUGCAUAGAUAUUGCACAGAACACCAAUUGCGAAGGCAGCUCGCUAAGCUGUAACUGACGCUGAGGCACGAAAGUGUGGGUAGCAAACAGG